UCCUUCUUGUAUGGAACCCAGGGUUCGAUUCAAUUUGUAUUGAUAGGACACUAAGGUGACACAACUCAUCAGAAUUAAAGUCUACCCAUUUCUCUGUGAAAUAAUUUUUAGCAUGAGACUUUGAUAAAAUCUCAAAUAACUCUAUUAUAAGCUUUAUUUUUAUCUGUUUCGAUAGUUAUGAAUUAUGAUUAACAUCUCAGGUUGGUGCUAAGAGUAUAGAUACAUAUUUUUUAGUUUUCCAGAUUUUUGGGUAUAUACUCGGGUGUUUAGGUGAUUUUUUUUUUGUUUGCUUUUUUGGAUUUUCUGAUUAAUUUUGAUGUUCAAAGAUAUUUUCAAGUUUAAGGUAUAUCUCUGGUUUUAAACAUUUGAACCGAAUUGUUCCAAAAAAAAACAUUUGAACCGAACCAAAUAAAAUUUAUUUAAAUAUCAACGGUUCAAAAACUGAGAUUCAAUCAUUCAAACAACCCAAAAUUGAUACGAACUGGCCUGAAACCGAAGUCGAAACACAUAAAUUCUAAAUGGGUUCAGAAUUCAUCUACCCAAAAUUUCGGUCCCAAUAAAAAACCGAUCGAACCUGACCUAGAGACCCAAAUACCAAUGCUUGUUAGUUUCUAUGUGAAUGAGCGAAUAUGCGUGUGUAUACAUCUCUAGGUUUACGGUUUAGUGGUUUACCCACAUGGUUCACGGAUACAAUACAAAAAUACACUAAUUUAUAACACCUCUAGGUUUCUUGAAAAGUUAUAUGAUUUGGUAUCUCGCAAUCUUGAGUUUCUUAGACUUUUUUUUUUGAGUUUCUUAAACUUAACAUAUGAUAGGGAUUAGUACUUAGAUGUAAUAAUCAUGUGGCCGUGAUUAUUUUAAACCCAAUUAGAACAAGUGAGGAGCCCACAUGAUGAAGAUUCAUGUUAUAUAACGACCAAAACCUUAGCCUUUCUCAACUUGAGGCGGAAACACACACCAAGCCAAAUCCAUUUUGUUCUACUUAUCAACUUGUGUCUCGCAUUACUUUUUUAUAAGAUAGCAAAUAUAUUUUUGUUCUUUACGAAUCAAAUGUGUAUACAAAGGAUAGCCCUUAUAGCUCCUGCAAAAUUUGUGGCUUAUGCAAUUUGGAGAGAAAUAUAAGGACACUAUUUUAAUGUCCCAUCUACGUUAUCGACCAUAUAAGAAAUGAUACGAAAGAAUACUAUCUAUUUGCCAGCUGGGAUCUAUACAAAUUUUAAAUUUUGAUUCUAAUAUAAAAAAUUCAUUUACUUUUUCCGAAAAGAGAAAUAAUUUUAUUUUUUGCUACUUUUAUU
This 1295-nucleotide long non-coding RNA is filed under the name Brassica rapa (field mustard). Its description in RNAcentral is "long non-coding RNA (BRAP_LNC006449)". Lineage: Eukaryota; Viridiplantae; Streptophyta; Magnoliopsida; Brassicales; Brassicaceae. The record is from RNAcentral.